Molecule: non-coding RNA, 209 nt
Filed under: Salmo salar (Atlantic salmon)
Lineage: Eukaryota; Metazoa; Chordata; Actinopteri; Salmoniformes; Salmonidae
Description: Eukaryotic large subunit ribosomal RNA
Rfam family: Eukaryotic large subunit ribosomal RNA
Source: Rfam by way of RNAcentral
CGAGGCGUCCAGUGCGGUAACGAGACCGAUCCAGGAAAAGCUGGCGGGAGCCCCGGGGAGAGUUCUCUUUUCUUUGUGAAGGGCAAGGCGCCCUGGAAUGGGAUCGACCCAAGAGAUGGGCCCAAGCCCUUGAAAGCGUUGCGGUUCCAGCGGCGUCCGGUGAGCUCUCGCUGACCCUUGAAAAUCCGGGGGAGAGGGUGUAAAUCUCG